This 253-nucleotide ribosomal RNA is filed under the name uncultured bacterium. Its description in RNAcentral is "partial 16S ribosomal RNA". It matches the Rfam family "Bacterial small subunit ribosomal RNA", at positions 524 to 776 of the family's 1533-position model. The record is from RNAcentral.
UACGGGGGGGGCAAGCGUUGUUCGGAAUUACUGGGCGUAAAGGGCUCGUAGGCGGCCAACUAAGUCAGACGUGAAAUCCCUCGGCUUAACCGGGGAACUGCGUCUGAUACUGGAUGGCUUGAGAUUGGGAGAGGGACGCGGAAUUCCAGGUGUAGCGGUGAAAUGCGUAGAUAUCUGGAGGAACACCGGUGGCGAAGGCGGCAUCCUGGACCAACACUGACGCUGAGGAGCGAAAGCCAGGGGAGCAAACGGG